This 1475-nucleotide ribosomal RNA is filed under the name metagenome. Its description in RNAcentral is "bacterial SSU rRNA". It matches the Rfam family "Bacterial small subunit ribosomal RNA". The record is from RNAcentral.
AGAGUUUGAUCCUGGCUCAGAAUGAACGCUGGCGGCAUGGAUUAGGCAUGCAAGUCGAACGGGAUCGCGGAGUUUGCUUUGCGAUUCAGUGGCGAAAGGGUGAGUAACACGUGAGUAAUCUGCCCUCGAAUUCGGGAUAGCCCCGGGAAACCGGGAUUAAUACCGAAUGUGGUUCUGCCCCGCAUGGGGCGGUGACUAAAGAACCUCGUUCGGGGAUGAGCUCGCGCCCUAUUAGCUUGUUGGCGGGGUAACGGCCCACCAAGGCUGUGACAGGUAGCUGGUCUGAGAGGAUGAUCAGCCACAUUGGGACUGAGACACUGCCCAGACUCCUACGGGAGGCUGCAGUCGAGAAUCUUCCGCAAUGGGCGAAAGCCUGACGGAGCGAUGCCGCGUGAGGGAUGAAGGCCUUCGGGUCGUAAACCUCUGUCAUAGGGGACGAAGAAUGUGACGGUACCCUCAGAGGAAGCCACGGCUAACUACGUGCCAGCAGCCGCGGUAAUACGUAGGUGGCGAGCGUUAUUCGGAUUUACUGGGCGUAAAGGGUUCGCAGGGGGUUUGCCAAGUCUGAUGUGAAAUCUCACAGCUCAACUGUGAAACUGCAUUGGAUACUGGCGGACUAGAGUGUAUGAGGGGUGAGCAAAUUCCUGGUGUAGCGGUGGAAUGCGUAGAUAUCAGGAAGAACACCGAUGGCGAAGGCAGCUCACUGGCAUACUACUGACCCUCAGGGACGAAAGCGUGGGUAGCAAACAGGAUUAGAUACCCUGGUAGUCCACGCUGUAAACGUUGUGCACUAGAUGCAGCCGGAUCUGAUCCCGGCUGUGUCCCAGCUAACGCGAUAAGUGCACCGCCUGGGGACUACGGCCGCAAGGCUAAAACUCAAAGGAAUUGACGGGGGCCCGCACAAGCGGUGGAGCAUGUGGCUCAAUUCGAGGCAACGCGAAGAACCUUACCUGGGUUUGACAUAAUCUCGACCGGCAUGGAAACAUGCCUUCCCUUCGGGGCGGGACUACAGGUGCUGCAUGGCUGUCGUCAGCUCGUGUCGUGAGAUGUUCGGUUAAGUCCGGCAACGAGCGCAACCCGUGUCGUCAGUUGCUAACAGGUAAUGCUGAGGACUCUGGCGAGACUGCCCGUGUCAAGCGGGAGGAAGGCGCGGAUGACGUCAAGUCCGUAUGGCCCUUACACCCAGGGCUGCACACGUGCUACAAUGGGCGGUACAAUGAGACGCGAAACCGCGAGGUGGAGCAAAUCUCCAAAACCGUCCCCAGUUCGGAUUGGAGUCUGCAACUCGACUCCAUGAAGUCGGAAUCGCUAGUAAAGGGGUAUCAGCAACGGCCCCUUGAAUACGUUCCCGGGCCUUGUACACACCGCCCGUCACAUCAUGGAAGCUGGCUGCACCCGAAGUCGCUGCACGAACCCGCAAGGGACGUAGGCGCCGAAGGUGUGUCCAGUGACUGGGAUGAAGUCGUAACAAGGUA